This 460-nucleotide ribosomal RNA is filed under the name uncultured bacterium. RNAcentral's name for it is "partial 16S ribosomal RNA". It matches the Rfam family "Bacterial small subunit ribosomal RNA", at positions 338 to 795 of the family's 1533-position model. The record is from RNAcentral.
CCUACGGGCGGCAGCAGUGAGGAAUAUUGGUCAAUGGGCGGAAGCCUGAACCAGCCAAGUAGCGUGCAGGAUGACGGCCCUACGGGUUGUAAACUGCUUUUAUACGGGAAUAAUGCGCAUUGCGUGUAGGGCUUUGCAUGUAGCUAACUAAUUAGGACCGGCCGAUUCCGUGCGAGCAGGCGCGGGAAUACGGAAGGUUCGGGCGUUUGUCGGAUUUAUUGGGUGUAAGGGACGCGGAGGCCGCAGGUCAAGUGCGUUGUGAAAUGUCCGGGCUCAACCCGGGCCUUGCAGUGGAAACUGGCGUUCUUGAGGACGCGGAAGGCAGGCGGAAUUCGUCGUGUAGCGGUGAAAUGCUUAGAUAUGACGAAGAACCCCGAUUGCGAAGGCAGCUUGCUGCAGCGGAACUGACGCUGAUGCUCGAAAGCGUGGGUAGCGAACAGGAUUAGAUACCCCAGUAGUC